AUGGGCAGCAGCAGGCUAAGCCCCGCCCUUCUCCCCCUUGUUCGGGGGACUGUCCGUGUUGGUCCUGAGGGAGGGGAGCUGAGCUGCUGCUGCCGGUCGAGGAGGAGUGGGAGUGCGUGCGUCCAGCUGCUUCCUCCUCCUCGGCGGCGUCCCAGCGGGAGGGCCACUGAAGGGGCGAGGGGAGCCCCGGGCCGCCGCUGCCACCCUCCCUCGCUCCUCCCCGGGGCUGGGCAGCAGCCGCAUGCCCCCCCGCUUGCCUGCCUGGAUGGAGCUUCCGCUGGGCCCCAUCCUGACCUGCUCCCCGCACCGCCCGCCCGACGGGGCUCAUCGAUCCGUCCCCGGGCAUGCCGUUAUGCCCCCUCCCUAAGGAUGGGAUCCGCUAGGGCGGCCGCUGCUGAGCCUCCACCCAAGGAACCGCCAAGCGCCGCGACGGGGGGGCAAGGGCAGGCGCCCCCCCUCACGGCCCUGCUGGCGUCUGUCUGGCCUCCGAGGAGGACGGAGAGCGGGACCGGGAGGGGGGCGUCGCGCGGGGGGAUCCGCUUCUGGGUCCAGGGAGCGACUGAGGCGCCCCGAGGGAGGGCGGCCGAGGACCCGGUCCCGGGGAACUACAGCUCCCGUAAGGCGCACGCAGCCAGCCAGUGGCAGGGAAGAAGAGCUGCGACCCNCGGUUUCAACACCCCCAGCCCGCAGGUCGGAAACGGCUGCUGCUGCCUCUCGCUCUCCAGGCCGUUUAUGCUGGCUAGCAGCCCCGCGAAAGGCGUUUCGAAAUGGCCGGCAGNUGUAGNNGGCGGCGGCGGCGAGCGAGGCUUCUACUCUGGGGAUUCCCCACCCCGCAAGCAACGUCGGCACGCUAAGCCCCGCCCCGCCUGCUGCGGUUGCGCGUUGGCCCGUCUCUUCCUUCCCCACUGGGCUGAGACAGAGCGUCUUGCGGCCAUUAGUCAUGAUCGUUGUGCGCAUGCGCUUGCGGUCGCGCGCCUAGAUUCAAACGGAGGCGUACGGCAGGCAGGCAGGAGCCGCAGCAGCAGGCGGGCCAGUCAGCCGUAG
RNAcentral lists this long non-coding RNA (1044 nucleotides) under Salvator merianae (Argentine black and white tegu). RNAcentral describes it as "lncRNA (ENSSMRG00000013065.1)". Lineage: Eukaryota; Metazoa; Chordata; Lepidosauria; Squamata; Teiidae. The record is from RNAcentral.